RNAcentral lists this non-coding RNA (23 nucleotides) under Xenopus tropicalis (tropical clawed frog). The record is from RNAcentral. Lineage: Eukaryota; Metazoa; Chordata; Amphibia; Anura; Pipidae.
ACUUUAACAUUGGUGUACUUUCU